AGUAAUGUAUGGGAUCUGCCGAUAGGGGGGAUAACUACUGGAAACGGUGGCUAAUACCGCAUAAUGUCUACGGACCAAAGCAGGGGCUCUUCGGACCUUGCACUAUCGGAUGAACCCAUAUGGGAUUAGCUAGUAGGUGGGGUAAAGGCUCACCUAGGCGACGAUCUCUAGCUGGUCUGAGAGGAUGAUCAGCCACACUGGGACUGAGACACGGCCCAG
RNAcentral lists this ribosomal RNA (219 nucleotides) under uncultured bacterium. RNAcentral describes it as "partial 16S ribosomal RNA". It matches the Rfam family "Bacterial small subunit ribosomal RNA", at positions 109 to 334 of the family's 1533-position model. The record is from RNAcentral.